UACGUAGGGCGCAAGCGUUGUCCGGAAUUAUUGGGCGUAAAGAGCUCGUAGGCGGUCUGUCACGUCGGAUGUGAAAGCCCGGGGCUUAACCCCGGGUCUGCAUUCGAUACGGGCAGACUAGAGUGUGGUAGGGGAGAUCGGAAUUCCUGGUGUAGCGGUGAAAUGCGCAGAUAUCAGGAGGAACACCGGUGGCGAAGGCAGAUCUCUGGGCCGUAACUGACACUGAGGAGCGAAAGCCAGGGGAGCAAACGGG
RNAcentral lists this ribosomal RNA (253 nucleotides) under uncultured bacterium. RNAcentral's name for it is "partial 16S ribosomal RNA". It matches the Rfam family "Bacterial small subunit ribosomal RNA", at positions 524 to 776 of the family's 1533-position model. The record is from RNAcentral.